CCUACGGGUGGCAGCAGUGGGGAAUUUUGCGCAAUGGGGGCAACCCUGACGCAGCAACGCCGCGUGAGUGAUGAAGGCCUUCGGGUCGUAAAGCUCUGUCAGAGGGGAAGAAAUGCAGGUGGUGAACAACCAUUCUGUUUGACGGUACCCUCAAAGGAAGCACCGGCUAACUCCGUGCCAGCAGCCGCGGUAAUACGGAGGGUGCGAGCGUUGUUCGGAAUUACUGGGCGUAAAGAGCGCGUAGGCGGUAAAGCAAGUCAGAUGUAAAAUCCCCUGGCUCAACCAGGGAAUUGCGUUUGAUACUGCUUUACUGGAGUACAAAAGAGGAGAAUGGAAUUCCCGGUGUAGGGGUGAAAUGCGUAGAUAUCGGGAGGAACACCAGUGGCGAAAGCGGUUCUCGGGAUUGAUACUGACGCUGAGGCGCGAAAGCGUGGGGAGCAAACGGGAUUAGAUACCCCGGUAGU
RNAcentral lists this ribosomal RNA (464 nucleotides) under uncultured bacterium. RNAcentral describes it as "partial 16S ribosomal RNA". It matches the Rfam family "Bacterial small subunit ribosomal RNA", at positions 338 to 794 of the family's 1533-position model. The record is from RNAcentral.